UACGUAGGGUGCAAGCGUUGUCCGGAAUUAUUGGGCGUAAAGGGCUCGUAGGCGGUCUGUCACGUCGGGAGUGAAAACUCAGGGCUUAACCCUGAGCCUGCUUCCGAUACGGGCAGACUAGAGGUAUGCAGGGGAGAACGGAAGUUCCUGGUGUAGCGGUGAAAUGCGCAGAUAUCAGGAGGAACACCGGUGGCGAAGGCGGUUCUCUGGGCAUUACCUGACGCUGAGGAGCGAAAGUGUGGGGAGCGAACAGG
This 254-nucleotide ribosomal RNA is filed under the name uncultured bacterium. Its description in RNAcentral is "partial 16S ribosomal RNA". It matches the Rfam family "Bacterial small subunit ribosomal RNA", at positions 524 to 776 of the family's 1533-position model. The record is from RNAcentral.